Molecule: ribosomal RNA, 136 nt
Filed under: Aspergillus flavus
Lineage: Eukaryota; Fungi; Ascomycota; Eurotiomycetes; Eurotiales; Aspergillaceae
Also listed under: 2 other names
Description: partial 28S ribosomal RNA
Rfam family: Eukaryotic large subunit ribosomal RNA
Source: RNAcentral
UUGACCUCGGAUCAGGUAGGGAUACCCGCUGAACUUAAGCAUAUCAAUAAGCGGAGGAAAAGAAACCAACCGGGAUUGCCUCAGUAACGGCGAGUGAAGCGGCAAGAGCUCAAAUUUGAAAGCUGGCUCCUUCGGG